UACGUAGGCAGCAAGCGUUGUUCGGAGUUACUGGGCGUAAAGGGUGUGUAGGCGGUUCUUUAAGUUUGGUGUGAAAUCUCCCGGCUCAACCGGGAGGGUGCGCCGAAUACUGAGGGACUAGAGUGUGGGAGAGGAAAGUGGAAUUCCUGGUGUAGCGGUGAAAUGCGCAGAUAUCAGGAGGAACACCAAUGGCGAAGGCAGCUCGCUGGGACGGUACUGACGCUGAGACGCGAAAGCGUGGGGAGCAAACAG
Molecule: ribosomal RNA, 252 nt
Filed under: uncultured bacterium
Lineage: Bacteria
Description: partial 16S ribosomal RNA
Rfam family: Bacterial small subunit ribosomal RNA
Source: RNAcentral